This 253-nucleotide ribosomal RNA is filed under the name uncultured bacterium. RNAcentral's name for it is "partial 16S ribosomal RNA". It matches the Rfam family "Bacterial small subunit ribosomal RNA", at positions 524 to 776 of the family's 1533-position model. The record is from RNAcentral.
UACGAAGGGGGCUAGCGUUGCUCGGAAUCACUGGGCGUAAAGCGCACGUAGGCGGCUUGCUAAGUCAGGGGUGAAAUCCUGGAGCUCAACUCCAGAACUGCCCUUGAUACUGGCGGUCUCGAGUCCGGGAGAGGUGAGUGGAACUGCGAGUGUAGAGGUGAAAUUCGUAGAUAUUCGCAAGAACACCAGUGGCGAAGGCGGCUCACUGGCCCGGUACUGACGCUGAGGUGCGAAAGCGUGGGGAGCGAACAGG